CCUACGGGUGGCAGCAGUGGGGAAUAUUGGGCAAUGGGCGAAAGCCUGACCCAGCAACGCCGCGUGAAGGAAGAAGGCUUUCGGGUUGUAAACUUCUUUUGACAGGGAAGAGCAGAAGACGGUACCUGUCGAAUAAGCCACGGCUAACUACGUGCCAGCAGCCGCGGUAAUACGUAGGUGGCAAGCGUUGUCCGGAUUUACUGGGUGUAAAGGGCGUGUAGCCGGGCUGACAAGUCAGAUGUGAAAUCCGGGGGCUCAACCCCCGAACUGCAUUUGAAACUGUUGGUCUUGAGUAUCGGAGAGGCAGGCGGAAUUCCUGGUGUAGGAGUGAAAUCCGUAGAUAUCAGGAGGAACAUCAGUGGCGAAGGCGACUAUCUGGCACAUAACUGACGGUGAGGAGCGAAAGCGUGGGGAGCAAACAGGAUUAGAUACCCGUGUAGUC
This 442-nucleotide ribosomal RNA is filed under the name uncultured bacterium. Its description in RNAcentral is "partial 16S ribosomal RNA". It matches the Rfam family "Bacterial small subunit ribosomal RNA", at positions 338 to 795 of the family's 1533-position model. The record is from RNAcentral.